RNA transcript from Quercus lobata, 1154 nucleotides. It is a transcript of the gene named 1-deoxy-D-xylulose-5-phosphate synthase-like, with no coding region annotated. The record is from RefSeq and is a predicted model, not a curated record. The transcript is spliced from 5 exons. Lineage: Eukaryota; Viridiplantae; Streptophyta; Magnoliopsida; Fagales; Fagaceae.
UAGGGUUUUUUCUAACACUUGAGGGAGGGUGCUCUGGUCUAUCCUUAGUACUGAAUGAAAAAUUUUGUUUUGUUAACUGGCUGAACUGAAUAUUGUUGGAUCUGCUGAGCUAUCAAUGUGACAGAUGAUUAAGUCAUCUUGGUCAACAGUUAAGAUUCCCCUGAUCUUCUCGAACAACCGCUCCUACUCUGGCUAUGUUCCUAUUUCUGAGUAGAACCUCUUCAAAGUUUACUUUAUACUAGCUACUUGGUGGUGGUUCUUUCCACUUGAUGAUCCUUCUAGUACCUGCUGCUUCCUUGUUUUCUAAGUUUUGCAGUUGAUCCUGUAGGGUUUCAAUGUUGAAGGGCAAAAAACUCUAAGCUCUUGGUGUAUCAAUUCCAGAUGAUUAUGAGGCUGGUAUGGCUGCUGCAGAUGGAGCCACCAAUUGUGGAACACUUGCUAUUACUUUACAUUGCUUGCUUGCCUAGCAUGGUGGUCAUGGCUCCAUUUGAUGAAGCUGAACUGAUGCACAUGGUUGCCACAGUGGCAGUCGUAGAUGACAGACAGACCCAGCUGCUUCAGGUAUCCAAGGGCAAUGGUAUUGGAGCAGCUCUUCCUCUUAAUAACAAGGGAACACCUCCUGAGAUCUCAACAAGCAAUUAGCCAAUGAGCAUGAAAUCCUAAUUACAAUGGAAGAGGGUUCAAUUGGAUGUUAUGGACCUCAUUUAUUGCACUACCUAAGCUUAACUGGUAUUUUGGAUGGACCCCUUGAGUUGAGAGCAAUGGUGCUUCCUCACAAGAUCAUAUUUGAGGAAGCUCAGCUCUCCGCAAGAUAUAUUUCAGCAACAAUCUUAUCUCUCUUAGGAAGGCCAAAAGAAGCUCUUCAGUUCAAGUGAGCACACGCAUGGAAAGAAGUUCCUGACAAGGAAUUGUUUUAGGUUUCUAGGAGCUUGUGAAAUUCCAACUCAGAAUGCUCGUUAAGGGGUACUUAUAUUUAGUGGUUAAUAAUCUUCAAAUGCCCAUAGUCUUAAAUCAUAUGUUCACUAGUUUCAAGUUCAAAGUUGAAUCAAUGAGGGCAUAAUGCAUAUUAAAUAAAAUUGUUGUAAUGAAGAUCGCAUUAAACAUGAAAUUAUACAACGGUCCAAGCAAAGAAAUAUUAGUCUUAUACAUGACAA